RNAcentral lists this unclassified non-coding RNA (483 nucleotides) under Hevea brasiliensis (rubber tree). The record is from RNAcentral. Lineage: Eukaryota; Viridiplantae; Streptophyta; Magnoliopsida; Malpighiales; Euphorbiaceae.
AGUGUUCCGUUUUCUUAGGAUCCUCUGCGAAAUGCAUAAAAUAGGUCAAUGAACAAAGAGAAAACCUAAAACCCAAAUUCAUCUACAAAGAAAUUUCAUUAACAAAAAUUAAAAUUCUAAUUAUCAAAACAAAAACUAAAAUUCUUUUGAUAUAAUUAGUUAAAACCACAAGUAACCUAUUUUGUGUAGACCAUUUCAAGAAAACCUCAAUAGUCAUCAACCAAGAGAUGAAGUGGGAAUCUAGCUGUGGAUGAUGCAGUGCUAAGAAAAUAGAACACGACCCAGAAUCUAAAAACAUAAAGAUUAAUGAAAUUGACAGUUCUAAUCUCAAAACAGAUUACCAAAGAAAUCAUAAGUGAGAGAGAUAGAAACCCAGAAUCCAAAAACUCUAAAUAAUGCAAAACAAUAACAAACAUUAAGCACAAAAGAGAACCCAAAAGAGAAAGGGAUGAUACUGACUUGGAUCACGAACAGUGGCUUUAA